This 391-nucleotide unclassified non-coding RNA is filed under the name soil metagenome. Its description in RNAcentral is "partial contains 5.8S ribosomal RNA, internal transcribed spacer 2, and large subunit ribosomal RNA". The stretch from base 1 to 122 matches the Rfam family "5.8S ribosomal RNA", at positions 35 to 154 of the family's 154-position model. The record is from RNAcentral.
GAUGAAGAACGUAGCGAAAUGCGAUACUUGGUGUGAAUUGCAGAAUCCCGUGAACCAUCGAGUCUUUGAACGCAAGUUGCGCCCGAAGCCAUUAGGCCGAGGGCACGCCUGCCUGGGCGUCACACGUCGUUGCCCCCCCAUCUACUCCUUCGGGAUUGCGGGGGGCGGAUGAUGGCCUCCCGUGCGCCUCGCCGCGCGGUUGGCAUAAAUGCCAAGUCCUCGGCGACGCACGCCACGACAAUCGGUGGUUGCGAAACCUCGGUUGCCCGUCAUGUGCAGUCGUCGCGCAUCGAGGGCUCGAAAAAAUUGCCGGGUUCCGGCUCGGCUUUCAACGCGACCCCAGGUCAGGCGGGGUUACCCGCUGAAUUUAAGCAUAUCAAUAAGCGGAGGA